CCUUUUCGAAGGGAUAGGGUCGGUUUGGCCGGAUUUCACACAGGUGUUGCAUGGCUGUCGUCAGCUCGUGUCGUGAGAUGUUGGGUUAAGUCCCGCAACGAGCGCAACCCUCAUCCUUAGUUACCAUCAGGUUAUGCUGGGGACUUUAAGGAAACUGCCAGUGAUAAACUGGAGGAAGGUGGGGAUGAUGUCAAGUCAUCAUGGCCCUUAUGGAGUGGGCUACACACGUGCUACAAUGGUGAUUACAAUGGGCUGCAAGGUCGCAAGGCUGAGCUAAUCCUAAAAAAUCAUCUCAGUUCGGAUUGUUCUCUGCAACUCGAGAGCAUGAAGUUGGAAUCGCUAGUAAUCGUGGAUCAGCAUGCCACGGUGAAUACGUUCUCGGGUCUUGUACACACUGCCCGUCACGCCAUGGGAAUUG
This 418-nucleotide ribosomal RNA is filed under the name Wolbachia endosymbiont of Aphis citricidus. RNAcentral's name for it is "bacterial SSU rRNA". It matches the Rfam family "Bacterial small subunit ribosomal RNA", at positions 996 to 1413 of the family's 1533-position model. The record is from RNAcentral. Lineage: Bacteria; Pseudomonadati; Pseudomonadota; Alphaproteobacteria; Rickettsiales; Anaplasmataceae.